CGGGGCGUGGCUCAGCCUGGUAGAGCGCCUGGUUCGGGACCAGGAGGCCGGAGGUUCGAAUCCUCCCGCCCCGACCA
RNAcentral lists this transfer RNA (77 nucleotides) under Acidobacteriota bacterium. RNAcentral describes it as "tRNA-Pro". It matches the Rfam family "tRNA". Rfam says of the family: Transfer RNA (tRNA) molecules are approximately 80 nucleotides in length. RNAcentral also lists the same sequence under 1 other name. Lineage: Bacteria; Pseudomonadati; Acidobacteriota. The record is from RNAcentral.